ACAUGCAAGUCGAACGGCAGCGGGGGCUUCGGCCUGCCGGCGAGUGGCGAACGGGUGAGUAAUGCAUCGGAACGUACCCAGUCAUGGGGGAUAACUACGCGAAAGCGUAGCUAAUACCGCAUACGCCCUGAGGGGGAAAGCGGGGGACCGUAAGGCCUCGCGUGAUUGGAGCGGCUGAUGUCGGAUUAGCUAGUUGGUGGGGUAAAGGCCUACCAAGGCGACGAUCCGUAGCGGGUCUGAGAGGAUGAUCCGCCACACUGGGACUGAGACACGGCUCAGACUCCUACGGGAGGCAGCAGUGGGGAAUUUUGGACAAUGGGCGCAAGCCUGAUCCAGCCAUGCCGCGUGAGUGAAGAAGGCCUU
This 363-nucleotide ribosomal RNA is filed under the name uncultured bacterium. Its description in RNAcentral is "bacterial SSU rRNA". It matches the Rfam family "Bacterial small subunit ribosomal RNA", at positions 53 to 418 of the family's 1533-position model. The record is from RNAcentral.